Molecule: unclassified non-coding RNA, 26 nt
Filed under: Mus musculus (house mouse)
Lineage: Eukaryota; Metazoa; Chordata; Mammalia; Rodentia; Muridae
Description: oocyte_clustered_small_RNA6419
Source: RNAcentral
CAGCAGCAGCAGUAAAGUGGAUCAAG